GGCGUCUAGUACAUGUUGAGGAGAGGAGGCCUGGCAGUGGAGUCUUUCGCGGCGGCGGAAGUAAGUAUAAAUUUUGAUUUCCUCAUGACCGUGGUUUGGCAGAUAUAUUUUACCAACGAUCUUUGUGCCAACUGCUGCUGUUCGUAGGGUAUGUCUUGUUCUGUACUAACCUAUGCUCGACACAUUGAAUGAGGUUUCUGUAACCUCAUUAUUUGGGGACAGUACUAUGGUCUUUGAUGUUAUCCAGUGCAAUUUAAUUUCUCCACUGUCAAGUACCCUAAGAACAUGACUACUCCCUCCGUUCCUAAAUAUUUGUCUUUUUAGAGAUUUCAAAUGGACUACACAUACGGAUGUAUAUAGACAUAUUUUAGACAGUAUUAUGGUCUUUCAUGUUAUACAGUGCAAUUUAAUUUCUCCACUGUCAAGUACCCUAAGAACAUGACUACAUGAUAAAAAUGCAUCAUAAUCCUUAAACUGCCAAAAUGUCUUACAUUUGUUUACAGAGGGAGUACUUUCAAAGAAACGCGAAAACUACCUCUGUAUUGUACAGUAUUUGAUCAAAAUCGAGUUUAAUAAACAAGCCUUGUUUAUUUUUGUAACUUGCUCACUUUGCAGGGCGAGGGCGGGGAAGGGGUCAAUAUGGUGGGCGCUACGACGGGGAUUACGCUGCACGGUCAAAGGGAAAUGGUUACCAAAGGAGGGGCGGGCACCAAUACGACGGCUACGACUAAUCUCACAUUUGGUCUGCUGGCGAAUGGUCGCAUCCCAUUUGGUGCUCUCGAUCUGGUGCGGCCUGGCCAUAUUUUUGUCACAACAAAGCGCGAUUACCUGGAGAACUUGCGUUUUGUGUAGCUGCUAUCGAGAAUGACUCGUUUCUAGAUGGGACUCUUUUAGUGUUUUUGCUACAUGAUCGUGUCGCCUAUCUGGUAUGAACUAAAACAUGGGGAAAAAUGGAUCAGUGUUAGUUGAUCCUUGGCCAUUUGAGAACACUGUCAAGAGUAUUCCGAUUGUC
RNAcentral lists this long non-coding RNA (1012 nucleotides) under Triticum aestivum (bread wheat). RNAcentral describes it as "long non-coding RNA (TAES_LNC021135)". Lineage: Eukaryota; Viridiplantae; Streptophyta; Magnoliopsida; Poales; Poaceae. The record is from RNAcentral.